GAUAAAUUUUUAAAUCAUUAUUGGCCAAAUUUGCGGUUUCUUCUGAUGUUUUUCCAGUAUAAAGAAGCACUGUGUCAUCUGCGAAAGUAUGAUACUGUCCAUUUAAACCCACUAGGCGCAAGCUUAGAACAAACAAUAUGUUAUAUUUUACGGACAUAACCAGGAGACUGUAGUAGAAUCAGAAGCAUCUCACGUUGUCGUUCAAACUCCAUCUGAAAACACAAUGCUUCCGAAUUUUGAUGUUCCAACACCUAGAGCACCUGUUGCUACGUUUAUUAAAUGCCCCAAUACUUCUAAGGGAACUUUUGUGGAAGAUAGCAAUGCUGCUACUUAUGGACCUGCAUACCAACUGCAUACCUGGACCAACAUACCUCAAAAAAAUAAUGUUCCAACAACUCUUACAUCCAUUUCUGUUGCCACGUUUGAUAGGUGCGAUAUAUCUCAGAAAACUUUUGUAGAAGAUAGUGACGACUCACUGGCCGACCCACAUUAUGAAGUUGAACUGGAUGAUUCUUUGUCAGAAGUGGAGUUAGAGGCAUCUGAAGAUGUCAGUGACGAAAAUAUUCCUGUACAUGUUGUCGCCGAUAACGAUUUUCCAGUUGAUGCUACUCAAGAAAUUGUAAGUCCAGCGAUGCAAGAAAGGCCAAAGAAGGGUAGAAAACGAAAAAUUCCCAAUCAAACUCGAAAGGAAAAAAAGAUACGUAUGUACACCAAUAAACCAUAUUUUUACUAUAAAAGUAUUCAAAUCCAACCCAAGGAAUUUGUCGAUUUUUAUUGUAACUGUACAUUAAAAUGCGCCGAAAGUGUUAACGUUGAAAUUCGGAAAUCCGAGUUU
This is a long non-coding RNA of Anthonomus grandis grandis, 835 nucleotides long. RefSeq lists it as uncharacterized. Lineage: Eukaryota; Metazoa; Arthropoda; Insecta; Coleoptera; Curculionidae. The transcript has 3 exons. The record is from RefSeq and is a predicted model, not a curated record.